UACGUAGGGAGCAAGCGUUGUCCGGAUUUACUGGGUGUAAAGGGUGCGUAGGCGGAAGAAUAAGUCAGUGGUGAAAUCUUACGGCUCAACCGUGAAACUGCCAUUGAUACUGUUUUUCUUGAGUUCGGGAGAGGUUGAUGGAAUUCCAGGUGUAGCGGUGAAAUGCGUAGAUAUCUGGAAGAACACCAGUGGCGAAGGCGGUCAACUGGCCCGAAACUGACGCUGAGGCACGAAAGCGUGGGUAGCGAACAGG
Molecule: ribosomal RNA, 253 nt
Filed under: uncultured bacterium
Lineage: Bacteria
Description: partial 16S ribosomal RNA
Rfam family: Bacterial small subunit ribosomal RNA
Source: RNAcentral